This 1327-nucleotide ribosomal RNA is filed under the name uncultured bacterium. RNAcentral's name for it is "bacterial SSU rRNA". It matches the Rfam family "Bacterial small subunit ribosomal RNA", at positions 22 to 1364 of the family's 1533-position model. The record is from RNAcentral.
GCUCAGGACGAACGCUGGCGGCGCGCCUAACACAUGUUAGUCGAACGGAGCUGAGAGGAGCUUGCUUUUCUCAGCUUAGUGGCGAACGGGUGAGUAACGCGUGAGUAACCUGCCCUGGAGUGGGGGACAACAGUUGGAAACGACUGCUAAUACCGCAUAAGCCCACGAUCCGGCAUCGGAUUGAGGGAAAAGGAUUUAUUCGCUUCAGGAUGGACUCGCGUCCAAUUAGCUAGUUGGUGAGGUAACGGCCCACCAAGGCGACGAUUGGUAGCCGGACUGAGAGGUUGAACGGCCACAUUGGGACUGAGACACGGCCCAGACUCCUACGGGAGGCAGCAGUGGGGGAUAUUGCACAAUGGGGGAAACCCUGAUGCAGCGACGCCGCGUGGAGGAAGAAGGUUUUCGGAUUGUAAACUCCUGUCGUUAGGGACGAUAAUGACGGUACCUAACAAGAAAGCACCGGCUAACUACGUGCCAGCAGCCGCGGUAAAACGUAGGGUGCAAGCGUUGUCCGGAAUUACUGGGUGUAAAGGGAGCGCAGGCGGACCGGCAAGUUGGAAGUGAAAACUAUGGGCUCAACCCAUAAAUUGCUUUCAAAACUGCUGGCCUUGAGUAGUGCAGAGGUAGGUGGAAUUCCCGGUGUAGCGGUGGAAUGCGUAGAUAUCGGGAGGAACACCAGUGGCGAAGGCGACCUACUGGGCACCAACUGACGCUGAGGCUCGAAAGCAUGGGUAGCAAACAGGAUUAGAUACCCUGGUAGUCCAUGCCGUAAACGAUGAUUACUAGGUGUUGGAGGAUUGACCCCUUCAGUGCCGCAGUUAACACAAUAAGUAAUCCACCUGGGGAGUACGACCGCAAGGUUGAAACUCAAAGGAAUUGACGGGGGCCCGCACAAGCAGUGGAGUAUGUGGUUUAAUUCGAAGCAACGCGAAGAACCUUACCAGGGUUUGACAUCCUGCUAACGAAGUAGAGAUACAUUAGGUGCCCUUCGGGGAAAGCAGAGACAGGUGGUGCAUGGUUGUCGUCAGCUCGUGUCGUGAGAUGUUGGGUUAAGUCCCGCAACGAGCGCAACCCCUAUUGUUAGUUGCUACGCAAGAGCACUCUAGCGAGACUGCCGUUGACAAAACGGAGGAAGGUGGGGACGACGUCAAAUCAUCAUGCCCCUUACGUUUUGGGCUACACACGUACUACAAUGGCGAAAACAAAGGGCAGCGAAACCGCGAGGUGGAGCCAAUCCCAUAAAAAUCGUCUCAGUUCGGACUGCAGGCUGCAACCCGCCUGCACGAAGCUGGAAUUGCUAGUAAUCGCGGGUCAGCAUACCGCGGUG